AGGAUUUGAAACCAUUUGAUCAAGCAAAAAGACAUUGGCUGGGGAAGCGGAGAGAAUAAGAAGACCAGGAACGAAGUAGCUCAAAUAGAAUUUGAGGAACAAAGUUGAUUGAGGCUUCAUAUUUCUUUUCAAGAAUAAAUAUGAGAACAACAAAUUUGAGGAUAGAACAAAUCAAAGGAAAAAUAACUUCAGAAUUCAUAAAUUAGAUUGAAUAAAGGAAAGAACACUUGUUUUUUGGAGUUUGUACUGGUAUUUUUAUAAUUGACUUUCAAUUUAGCCAUUAUCAUUAUUAUCAUUAAACAAAAACACAAGUUGUAAAAAAAUCAAAAUUUGUGAUUGUAGGAAAGAACACUUAGCUUCAACUAUGUUCACUAAACCUGUGAUUGAUUUAAUGAAAGGAAUUUACAAACUAGUUCUUGAGGAAUCCAUCUCUAACGACUGUUUGGGCUCUCCUCCCAGCCACCCCAUCGCUUUAAGUGUCGAACUCAUCGUUGUUGGCUUCCCUAACUAAGAAGUUGGGCCUUGUAUGCAUUUAUGGAGACUUUGAGAUGAGGUUUUCAUGUUGCAAUUAUGGUUGAUUUAGGUGUUGGUAGAUAGAUAUUUGAGAUGAGGCAUUGGACUUUAAGAUGAAAGAUGAUGGUGUGACAAUCAAGCUCAAAAAGUAAGUGGCCUAUGAGAGAAGAGAUGGGUUCGAGGGCGAAUAAAGGGGAUAGUUG
RNAcentral lists this long non-coding RNA (716 nucleotides) under Jatropha curcas. Its description in RNAcentral is "long non-coding RNA (JCUR_LNC001081)". Lineage: Eukaryota; Viridiplantae; Streptophyta; Magnoliopsida; Malpighiales; Euphorbiaceae. The record is from RNAcentral.